Molecule: ribosomal RNA, 600 nt
Filed under: uncultured bacterium
Lineage: Bacteria
Description: bacterial SSU rRNA
Rfam family: Bacterial small subunit ribosomal RNA
Source: RNAcentral
CGCCGCCCCCGCCCGCCUACGGGACGCAGCAGUGGGGAAUUUUGGACAAUGGGCGAAAGCCUGAUCCAGCAAUGCCGCGUGAGUGAAGAAGGCCUUCGGGUUGUAAAGCUCUUUUGUCAGGGAAGAAACGGUGAGAGCUAAUAUCUCUUGCUAAUGACGGUACCUGAAGAAUAAGCACCGGCUAACUAUGUGCCAGCAGCCGCGGUAAUACGUAGGGUGCAAGCGUUAAUCGGAAUUACUGGGCGUAAAGCGUGCGCAGGCGGUUUUGUAAGUCCGUCGUGAAAUCCCCGGGCUCAACCUGGGAAUUGCGAUGGAGACUGCAAGGCUAGAAUCUGGCAGAGGGGGGUAGAAUUCCACGUGUAGCAGUGAAAUGCGUAGAUAUGUGGAGGAAUACCGAUGGCGAAGGCAGCCCCCUGGGAUAACACUGACGCUCAUGCACGAAAGCGUGGGGAGCAAACAGGAUUAGAUACCCUGGUAGUCCACGCCCUAAACGAUGUCAACUAGUUGUCGGGUCUUAAUUGACUUGGUAACGCAGCUAACGCGUGAAGUUGACCGCCUGGGGAGUACGGUCGCAAGAUUAAAACUCAAAGGAAUUGACGG